Tyto alba (common barn owl) is the source of this 1066-nucleotide long non-coding RNA. RefSeq lists it as uncharacterized. The transcript is spliced from 6 exons. Lineage: Eukaryota; Metazoa; Chordata; Aves; Strigiformes; Tytonidae. The record is from RefSeq and is a predicted model, not a curated record.
UUCAAAACCCAUCCAAAUUCACCACCACCACCACCCCCCGCGACCCGCCUCUGUGGCGGUUUGCCCGGGGGGUCGUGCGGCGCCCCUCGCCGCCUCGCUCUGUAGUUCCCGCCAAUCCCCCUCCCCACACCACCCCUCACACCCCCCCCACGGGUGAAGCGGUGAGCCGGGGAGCUCCCCCCCCCGGUGGAGCCGCGUCGGUGCCCGGCGGAAGACGAGAGCUGGAGGUAGCCAACACCCUUGGCUGUGGGAAUUUUGGCUGAGAUGGCAAGGAGUGCUGCAACCCAAGUGUGGUUCUACCGCCAACUCCAUCGAUGUUUCAUACUGAGAAUGGCUUAAUCGCCUCUCUCCCUUGGAUUCAGAGAAACAGUCACUGAGGUGCCUACCACAACAAUGUAAUGCUGUGAAUAAUCAUAGGAAAGAUGUAGUGGACACUUCUCAUACCACAGACGAGUUUCAUGCAUGGUAAAUGCAUCUAACUGUGAAGAAUACACCAGGUACUUGAAAAUGGUAAAUGUUAAGAGUUUGGCAACAAUUUAAGGAAAACAAAUUGAUGAAGAUAAAGGCCCACAGAGAAGUUGAGUUCGUUGCCAUAUUGAAGAACAGUAGUUUUCUGACCCUAAUCUACAUGUUUCUGAAAGAUGGGCUGUCUGAAUUAAUCUUAAGAUAUUCCUGGAUUGUUUCUCCUUUGCUAUCCUCUCUCUUCAAAUCACUGGGUCUUCUCAGAAGGAGCUGGAAGAACGGCCAGAAUGUAAUAUUAGCAGGGGAGCCUGUCACAUGAAAUGUCCUCAGCAGGGAGCCGAUGUGCUUAUUUAGGAAGGGUUAGAGAUGUGAAGGAGUAUGGGAGAGCACCAGCACAGGACUGGGACAAACACGGCUUCUCUAGCUUCGCUACCAAGAAAAUCUCCUCUGGUUUGCCAAGAGUUUUGUUCCUGAAAACAAUACGAGCUAUCUCUCCUAGAUAUUUAGUAUAGAAAUUAAAACACAUAUAACGAGUUUCCAAAGAAAGUUAUCCUUCGUGCUUAUGAGCACUGUUGCUUACUGAAGAUCUAAACUGAGUUAGCAG